This 1724-nucleotide long non-coding RNA is filed under the name Gossypium raimondii (Peruvian cotton). Its description in RNAcentral is "long non-coding RNA (GRAI_LNC003020)". The record is from RNAcentral. Lineage: Eukaryota; Viridiplantae; Streptophyta; Magnoliopsida; Malvales; Malvaceae.
UAGUAUCGAUCCAAGGUUGUUACCCUCCUCAUCGGACUCCCCCUUCGCUUCCAUCGCCUUGAGAGCGGCCUUCUUUGGACAGUCCUUGAUCAUAUGUGGACCCUCACAGUGGAAGCACCUUAUAGGUCCACUUUUUCUCUUGUCCCAAGGCUUCUUACCGUCGCCGUUCCUAGUGGGCCUUUCUUUAUCUCCCCCACUAUUACCCUUUAAUCUGGGUUUAGAAGAAUUGGGAUUGUCUUUCCUCCCACCAAAUUCAGCAAGUGAUUCUGCUACUGACAUAGCCUUGGUGAGUUCUUGAACUCCUCGGCGUUGCAACUCUUGCUUCGCCCACGGUUUUAAUCCGUCCAUAAAGGAAAAGAAUGCCUCUUUCUCCCCCAUAUCUGCAAUUUGUAGCAUAAGCUCACUAAACUCCUGCACAUACUCCCUCACAGUGCCUUGUUGUGCAAGCCGACGCAACUUUGCCCGAGCCUCAUCCUCGGCAUACUCUGGGUAAAACUGUGCUUUGAACUCACAUCGAAACUCCUCCCAUGUUUCGAUUUCAGACCCACCACGUCUCACAUCAGUGGACCUACGACGCCACCACAACAAAGCAACAUCAGAUAAAUACAUCGCAGCAGUAGUUACCUUAGUGACAUCCUCCGUGAUGCCUUUGGCACAGAAGUAUUGCUCGAUUCCCCACAAAAAGUUGUCCACAUCUCUUGCGGACCUUGUUCCCUUAAACUCUUUGACAUGGGAACAUCAAUAUUGGGCUUGGGUGCGGCAGCCGCUAACCCACCAUUGCCCAAGGCAACCUUGUAGAUUGUGAGUUCACCCUUGAGCUCCGCAAUCUCUCCCUUCAAGGCCACCACCAUAGAAAAGGAUUCAACAGCAAAAACGCACAAGUCAACUUAACUCACAACAAUAAAGGAUUCUCCUGCAUGGACUGCAGUCCAUCAUGGAGCCUAUCAUCAACAUCUUCAACCCUCUCCUUGAUAUCCCCCAUUGAACUCUCGAGAGUGACGACGUGAUCCUCUAAAGCUGACAAUAUGUCCCUUGAGCGACUGGCUUUCCUAGCCCUCCCACGGGUCUCCAUUCCCUCAACUUCUUUUGACAUCUUUCAACGGUGGCUUCGAACCUUAGCUCGGAUACCAACUGUCACGGACUUAGAGCUUUCCCACGCGAUCCGUGCGGCCUUAGGCAGUUUCUCUGCUUAAAACGCCUAAGUCAGCCUAACUUGCAAAGAAAAAGGAUUCAACAGCAAAAACGCACAAGUCAACUUAACUCACAACAAUAAAGGAUUCAAUAGAAUUCCCUUAAGAUUUUCGCUAAGAACAGCAGAAGAAUGAAGUAAGAACGAGCCUUGAAAGAUGAACAAAAGCAAGAACACUUGAGAGAAAAGUUUGAGGGAAUACUCUCAAAAUUCUUAUUAAUAACUCCGUGAAUUACAAUGAGUACAGAGGUCUCUAUUUAUAGUUGAGCCUCAAAGUACAUCAAAGGCUAUAAUUAAAAGCUGUAUACAAUUAGAACUCUAAGACAUAAUUAGAAGCUGUAUACAAUUAAAACUCUAAGAUUAAAUAAUCAUAUCUUCUUGGGUCUCUUCCCUUAUUUAUCAGACUCUUGGGAUGGGCUUUUAAUCCCUUCAGGCAACGGGCCAGUUUGGUUGGGCCAAAUGACCUCCUUCAAAUACGAUGGAUCGCACAAGUUCGUCAUGGUUGCGUGUUCCCAUGCGCAACCCAUGACACUAG